This 4096-nucleotide long non-coding RNA is filed under the name Chlamydomonas reinhardtii. RNAcentral's name for it is "long non-coding RNA (CREI_LNC001173)". The record is from RNAcentral. Lineage: Eukaryota; Viridiplantae; Chlorophyta; Chlorophyceae; Chlamydomonadales; Chlamydomonadaceae.
UACACUAACUCUAAGGUCUUGGGCGGCAGCUGAAGUACAGCACUCCCAGCCUUCAGCCGCCGCCCGAGACCUUGAAGUUGGUGUACACAAAGUACAGCGCUCCCAGCUCCAGUGACGCCACCAGCGUCAGGUUGACAGCGACCAACGCCUUGUUGACUGCAGUGUCCUGCUUCAGCUGCGAGAUAUUAUUCUGCAUAUCGCCGAUGUCCUUCUGCAUUUUGCCCUGGUUCGUGAGCACCUUGUUGAGCUUGUGGGAGCUAUCACACGGAUCUAACAUGGGAUGAAGUUUGCUGCGGAGUUAGGCAGCAGGUAUGGACAGCAGCUGUGAUUGUCUGCAAGUCUAGUGUGAAGACUCAGCGGUGGGAGCUUAUCCGCUGAUCAACCUCAGGUGCUACUUCUGAGGGGUGCUGUGUUGCCAGUUCUGGUGUGUGCAUGUGAUUUGCGACAACCAGAGGAGUGGUACGUGUGGAGAAGGCACAUGUGGAUUGAACUGUGCGUGGGCCCAGUUAACGCAGUGGUAGUGGAAACAGGUCAGGGUUGAAUUUGGUUGGUUAAGUGAAUGUGUUUUGUAGGGCUGAACUGCAUGCACGCUGGCAUGGCAGCCUGCGUGACCACUUAGUGCUGCAUGGGCACCCCCUUGCACGCGGCAGGGGCUGACCGCUAGGGCUCUCACCUAACAGGGGAAAGGCGCGGGGAAAGGCGGGGGGAAAGCAAACACGAUAUGCUGCCUACAGUAUUGCCAAAAACGCUCAGGUAGCUGCAAGGGUUUCUUGUAGAAUGUCGCGUUUCUGGUUGUACACAUUGUUGCAGGAAGAUGAAGUUUUCGACGACCGGUUGCUUGCUGACUACCCUGGCCGCGCGCUGCUAGCGCGCUCAGAAAGAGGUAACCAAAGGCAAGAGACUCUGGUUGACGGAAUACUAACUGGGUGUCAUGGCGAAAGAGAAAGAAAGCACGGCUUGGUCACAGCAGCGGAUCCGUCCUCCAGCCAGGUCCAGCUUAUAGAUACUCAGGUACACAACUAAGGAUUAACAGGUUGAAAAGGAAGGCUCAACUAAAGGGCAUCACGUAAAUUGUCGGAACUGCGACCGGGUUGAGCCAUGCAGCAAUCGCGCUGUCGUUACAUCCUCGGCCGCCCGGCGCCCUUGCUCAUUUAACCGCAUCCAUCACUUCUCCCUCGGCCCCUGCGGGUGCGCCCAGUUGCCGCGCCAGUCCAAAGUCCGCCAGUUUGGCCACGAAGCCGCGGGGGUCGGUGUCGGAGCGCUCGGGGGGGGGGGGAGGGGGGGGGGGGGCAGCGGUCAUGGAGCUGGUGGCGUGUGUGGUAGGACACGUGUGGAACGUGUUAGGAAACGUGUGGAACGGGAAACGCGCUAUGCAUGUGUGUUGGAAGAGGUGAAAAGAAAGUAGGGAUUGGGGGCAUUCGCUCUCACAAGCAAGCAGCUGUCGUGUCCUGGCGUGUGAGCGUGCGUGCCGUGUCACACCGACCAUUGGGUCCGGCUUUGCAUUUCCUCUUUUCAUUAGCGUGCAGACAAGACAAUAAGAUUUACGUUCUGCAUGAUUUGGAGUCACGCUUGUAUGCGCGGACUAUAGAAAGAUCUGUUCGGAUAAGAGCGUCGUACUGCAUGGAGGCAGCGACGUCUCGAGGCCAAGUGCGCGGGAGAGAGCCACCGGGUUGUCUUUUGGCUCUCGUCCCGAACGUGCGCCCCGUAUCAUAGACCAAGCCUAGUCUCGUUGUAAUAUUUGAGAGUCUGAUCAACUCCUACGACGGGAAUAGCGACAUCUCCGGCCGGAGUCUGGAGCUAAGCCACACAGUACGUUGAGCAGGGCUGCGUAAACGCAUUUGCCUUGUGUGCUUGUGUAGGUAACAGAGACACGAACCCUCGUAGAAUGUCCGUUUACACACGUACGGGCGCGACACAGCCGACAUCCCAAAGCCACGCGCAAGCAGCGCUGACAACCGAACAGCCCCUUCAUCCCCCCCUCAUCCCCCCCUUCCCCACCCCCACCUGCAGCAGCACAUUGGCGGUCUUGAGGUCGCCGUGUGCGAUGUGGCGUGAGUGCAGGUAGCGCAGCGAGGGCGUGCAGCCCUUUCACAGCUCCUUGUGAGAGCCACCAGGUUUGUUUGCAUGGGCCCAUGCAGUCGAAAUGCAGCUGAAAAAAAACUCGCCGACCGAUUUUCGGGGGGUAAACCCGUCAGUUGCAGUCAAACCUAAUUGUUUUUAUUUUGCUGCUUUCAAAAAUUUGCGCCUUCCCGUACGAAGCUUCAGCCGCCGCCCGAGACCUUGAAGUGACUCGGCAAAACGUGACUCUCUGUAAAUUAAGAGGUAAGCGUUGAGCCACUGCAGCGACAGCGAAUGCAUUUUCGUGGGCUGCAGCUCAGCUGCAAUCUCUCUCACUGAGCAGUCAACAAAGCCUUUCAAGUAGACGUAAUCAAAGUUGGCAAUCACAAAUAUAGCUGGAAUCCUGUCUUUGAUAUUGACUGGCUUUGCUCCCCCUGCCUUGUAGCUUUCUUUUGUUCAACGCUCCGACUCGUGGGAGGCUUCAGGACACACGCAGUAAGUUUGUGGGAUUCAUCGAGCUGGCGCGGGCGGGGCGAUGCCUAAGGGGGAAGGCUCGGGCGGGGCGAAGACGGUGGCUUCGGCAUCGGCCAGAGCGAUGACCGCUCGGGGCCAGGGGCCGCCCAGGGCCUUAGAAAGCAGGGGGGAGGCUUGUGCGGGGCGGGGGCAGACCGCGAGGGGCUUAGAAAGCAGGGGGAGGCUCACGCAGGGAGGGCGGGGGUGGACCGCUCGGGACCUCCUAGUGCAGAGGUGGGAAAUAUUUGCUAGUUUUCCUCUGAACGCCUUGAAGGCUCUGAUGGCAGGGGGCCGCGUGGGGGGCUGCUCGGGCUACUUAAGGCAUGGGCCGGCAGCUCUGGGCUGGGUGGGCCGCAUUGGGGCCUUCCUGGGUCUACUUAAGGCAUGGGGCGGGCAGCUCGGGGCUGGCCUCGGGGUGGGCUUGCGUGGGCCUGCUCGGGCUACCAAAGGCUUAGUGAUAAGGUCGGGUCCGGUAUGGGCUUACAAAAGGCUGGGCGGGCCUGGAUUCAGCCAUGGUGUGCCACUCUUUUGCCACUCUUACACCUAUGCAUUUUCUUCCCGCCCUUGGCAAACGGCAGAAUGCACAAGUGCAACUGCGUGUACAGCGCUGGUGCUGCACCAGCGCACCUGCCGGGCAAGCAAGUGCGGCUACGUACCGCGGUGAGGGCGGGUGCGCUGUACACGCGCCCGGCACGCCACGGCCGGUCAGUCCUGGAGCGCAAGCUCAACAAGGUGCUCACGAACCAGGGCAAAAUGCAGAAGGACAUCGGCAAAAUGCAGAAGGACAUCGGCAAAAUGCAGAAGGACAUCGGCGAAAUGCAGAAGGACAUCUCGCAGCUGAAGCAGGACACGGCAGUGAACAAGGCGUUGGUCGCUAUCAACCUGACACCGGUGGCGUCACUGGUGCUGGGAGUGCUGUACUUCGUCUCGGGCGGCGGCUGAAGCGUCUAGGGUGGCGGCUGAAGCUUCAGCCGCCGCCCGAGACCNNNNNNNNNNNNNNNNNNNNNNNNNNNNNNNNNNNNNNNNNNNNNNNNNNNNNNNNNNNNNNNNNNNNNNNNNNNNNNNNNNNNNNNNNNNNNNNNNNNNNNNNNNNNNNNNNNNNNNNNNNNNNNNNNNNNNNNNNNNNNNNNNNNNNNNNNNNNNNNNNNNNNNNNNNNNNNNNNNNNCAGCCGCCGCCCGAGACCUUAAAGUUGGUGUACACGAAGUACAGCACUCCCAGCACCAGUGACGCCACCGGUGUCAGGUUGAUAGCGACCAACGCCUUGUUUACUGCCGUGUCCUGCUUCAGCUGCGAGAUGUCCUUCUGCAUUUCGCCGAUGCUUCAGCCGCCGCCCGAGACCUUGAAGUUGGUGUACACGAAGUAGGUGUGUGAAUUUUGGUUUAUGCUUGACCGGUCAAACCAAGCGCAGGGGGCGGAUGUUGUUUCUCUGGGUCGCAGAUGGCCCUUUGCGGCGUGGGUACGGCGUGCCCCCGCUUGUCCCUUCAAUUGUAAUCCGCAUCCUUAUCCGCUGAUCAAUCUCAGGUG